GUGUUCGGAUCCCUGACGCCGGAGUUGGGACGGAAGAGGGCGUAGUCCAGGGAGAUGCCACUGGGGUCGGCCUUGUAGGCGAAGAAGGGGUAGGAGUUGAUGAAGAACGGGGACUUGAUCUGCGCGUGGAAGUUGAGGAGGGGCUGGAGGUACUCGGCCAGAUCUGCCCGGAAGGUGCCGGCGGAAGGGGGAAAGCUGGUCUGCAAUAUGGCGAAGGAAUGCGCGGUGGUCACGUUCACCUGCUUGUCCAGGCCGAGCUCCUUGAGCGCCUGGUAGACGGAUUGCAUCGCCGGGAGGAGAUUGGACAUGAGCACGGUGUCGUUCCCGGAGAACACCUCGUUGCCGACGGUGAUGGAAGUGAUUAGGGUUUGCGGGAGGUAGGGUUUGACGUUCUGCUCGACCCACGCCCGGGCACUGUUCGGAUCCAUCACGCUCGCCACCUUCCCGUUGUCUAUGGCGACGAUGAACUCCACAUUAGAAUUCUGGAAGGCACUCAGCACGUUGGGAUCGGCGUCGUAGAGCUUCAC
This 527-nucleotide long non-coding RNA is filed under the name Spirodela polyrhiza (greater duckweed). Its description in RNAcentral is "long non-coding RNA (SPOL_LNC000003)". The record is from RNAcentral. Lineage: Eukaryota; Viridiplantae; Streptophyta; Magnoliopsida; Alismatales; Araceae.